Long non-coding RNA from Cebus imitator (Panamanian white-faced capuchin), 238 nucleotides. RefSeq lists it as uncharacterized. Lineage: Eukaryota; Metazoa; Chordata; Mammalia; Primates; Cebidae. The transcript has 3 exons. The record is from RefSeq and is a predicted model, not a curated record.
ACUAACUAAUGGUAUAAUACAUGCUGCUUUUAUGCUCCUCUUUAAAGAUUCUCUUCGUCUGUUUGCAGCUUAUAAUGAAGGGAUCCUUAAUCUGCUAGGCAAAUAUUUUGACAUGAGGAAGAACCAAUGCAGGGAAAGUUUGGAUAUUUACAUCAAGUUCCUUCAAGGAAGAACCAAAUUGAUACAGUUUCUGAACGUUGCAGAGCAAGUUGGAAUUGACCAACGCAACAUUCCAUAU